This 496-nucleotide ribosomal RNA is filed under the name uncultured bacterium. RNAcentral describes it as "partial 16S ribosomal RNA". It matches the Rfam family "Bacterial small subunit ribosomal RNA", at positions 29 to 507 of the family's 1533-position model. The record is from RNAcentral.
AUGAACGCUGGCGGCGUGCCUAAUACCUGCAAGUCGAGCGAACGGACGAGAAGCUUGCUUCUCUGAUGUUAGCGGCGGACGGGUGAGUAACACGUGGAUAACCUACCUAUAAGACUGGGAUAACUUCGGGAAACCGGAGCUAAUACCGGAUGAUAUUUUGAACCGCAUGGUUCAAAAGUGAAAGACGGUCCUGCUGUCACUUAUAGAUGGAUCCGCGCUGCAUUAGCUAGUUGGUAAGGUAACGGCUUACCAAGGCAACGAUGCAUAGCCGACCUGAAAGGGUGAUCGGCCACACUGGAACUGAGACACGGUCCAGACUCCUACGGGAGGCAUCAGUAGGGAAUCUUCCGCAAUGGGCGAAAGCCUGACGGAGCAACGCCGCGUGAGUGAUGAAGGUCUUCGGAUCGUAAAACUCUGUUAUUAGGGAAGAACAUAUGUGUAAGUAACUGUGCACAUCUUGACGGUACCUAAUCAGAAAGCCACGGCUAACUACGUG